GAUAAACGCUGGCGGCGCACAUAAGACAUGCAAGUCGAACGAACUUAACUUUAAUAUUUAUAUUGAAGAGCGGUUAGUGGCGGACUGGUGAGUAACGCGUAAGCAAUCUACCUAUUAGAGGGGAAUAACAGUGAGAAAUCACUGCUAAUACCGCAUAUGCCGUGAGUAUCGCAUGAUACAAUCGGGAAAGGAGUAAUCCGCUAAUAGAUGAGCUUGCGUCUGAUUAACUAGUUGGUGUGGUAACGGCACACCAAGGUGACGAUCAGUAGCCGGACUGAGAGGUUGAACGGCCACAUUGGGACUGAGAUACGGCCCAGACUCC
Molecule: ribosomal RNA, 322 nt
Filed under: uncultured Oscillospiraceae bacterium
Lineage: Bacteria; Bacillati; Bacillota; Clostridia; Eubacteriales; Oscillospiraceae
Description: bacterial SSU rRNA
Rfam family: Bacterial small subunit ribosomal RNA
Source: RNAcentral